UCAGCAGCAGUACGUUUUUAUGCUUACAAUUAUUUUGAGUAAUUAUCAUAGUGUCCAGUGCCUUUAACACUGUUGGGUUUUGAAUGCAGAGUAAAAUUUCCACUUGAGUAUUACCUUUUGUUAAUGUAAUUAUUGAAGUGGAUUAGUCGAGUGUACAUUAUGGAAAUAGAAGAUGAGCAUUAUUCACGCACAAAACGUGAGUGCUUUCCAAGAAGUUGCACCUUUUUAUUUACUCCUACAAAUGCAAGAAUGAAUAUUGCACACUUGAACACGUUGUGAAUGCGCCGAUUGCCUAUGGUGCUAAAUGUCUAUACAGUAAAACGUGGCCAGGCAUGUCCUUGUAGUAUCUUUGAAGAAUGUUGAUCUGAUUUAUGAAUGUUCUGAUGUGUAACAUCAUCGGUGUGAUAUCACCGUGUGGAUAAAAAAAUUUACGUGGAGAAGGUGCUUACGAAAAAGAAAGAAAAAAAACACUCUCGGUUGAAUCUGAUGUUUCAUGCCGAUUUUGAAGUACUAUACGACUUUCUAAAGCUACAUGUAUAAUACUAAAAUGGAAGUCGGUUUUCACUGUUAGUAUCCAAUAACUAAACUGCGGAAGUCAUGUUCAUUCAUGCCUUGCAAUUUCGUCUGGAAGAAACUGCACGCAUCACCCGUUGGCUCUGACGUCACUAUCUGAUCAUUAAUUGGCUGGCGAACAUUACAUGUAGGUUACUCUCAUAUUAUCCGUAUAAUUAGAGAGUAUUAGCGUCAUUAUAUUUGGUUGGGUGCACAUGUUUUAUGUUUGGACAUAAUAAUUUAACAGCAAUUUGAGCCGAAUUGUGGUGUACCGGUAAUUAUUAUGGAUAAAGAUGUGUUACGUAAAGUGUUAUUUAGGACCAGUGGCAUGAGUGGUAAACAUAACUCUUUUUAUGUUUCUUGCAAACCUAAAAAAGGACAAAGAAAAGAAAAACAAAUCAAAAUAAAUUUAAUAAUCCCCGAUAAACCCUGAUAAAGCAAUACACAAACAACCAAACAAACCUAACAACCCAACAGACAAACGAUUAAACAUACAUGAACGACAUUGCGUCCAUGGUUACUACAAACUUAUGGAGCAUGCAGUAUGAACCAUCGUGUGCUUAACACACAUAAAUGCAUCUCCAUCAAACUAUUGAGAAAUGAGGAGGCAAAGAUCUGUUGUGAAAAGCACCGAUCCUUAAACGCCGCACAAAAUGUAGAUCUGUCAAGCUAAUUAUACAGUUCAAUCUUUAUUCGGAAGAACUGUAUCAAGUCAGUCGGCGCCAAUUAUUUUUAGCGAUGCAUAUUCAGUUUAUUUCUUCAUUAGGAAUCUUAAUAUGCAACGAAACAUAGAGGACACAAUCAACGUUUAAUGCAUUACACGGGAUGGACUUGCCGGUAGCAUCUAAGAAAUCGUGAUUUGAAAAUCAGAUGAUCGCUCUGGUGCUAUUCGGAAUAACUUCUUAAGAGUCGCUUGUCAAGAUGAUGGGCGAUGGAUUGCGCCAAUUGAGUAGCAAUCCUUCUAUGCCAAAUUGGGAAAUUAUCAAAAGAUGUGUGCUAGAGCAUUCAGUGGAAACAUGCGAUAUGCAUGUAUUUGUUUAAAAAAAUAAAUUUUAAAUAAUCUCGGUGAUUGUCACCUGAUUUGGUGAACUUACAAAGAGGUAAGGCAUUUUUCAAUUUCAUAUGAAGGGAACGGGGGAGGUAUUUUACGCUCGGAAAAAACGUACGUCGUUAGAGUUACUAAGCCUCGAGAGCCAGGUUUCGCUUGUUGAAAACAGCACUACUCUAUAUUCAUUUGUGCAUACCUACCCAUAAACCACAGCCUAACACACUCUCAUCCUCUACGAGAAGACGAGAAAAUACUUCCACUAAUUUUCCGCGCUCGGGGCUAAAAAGAUAGAAAAUCAAGCACCAAUGAAUGCUGAUCUGUGGCUGGCGUGAACCAGGCAUUGGGUUUUAUGCACGACGGGACUGCUGCAUCUACAACAAAGCGACGAUUUCCAAUCCACCUACCAUGCCGAUAAUGCCGACAAACCUUGGUAUGUCUGAUGCUAACUAACCCACAACGGGGAAAAAUUCACGGUGUCAAGUGGCUACAGCGGGAGCACGACACUUUUAAUAACGGGCAAGCAAACCGCGAGAUGAGGAGUAAUAAAUGUUCAGAUUUCUUUUUAAUGAGAGAUAAUACCUGGCAAUAGAAACACACAUGCCCAGUAGAGUAGGAGCAUUUUAAUUAUCUGGAGCGGCAACCACAAGUUCUCUUCAGAACACAUUUAUCCAUGGAUAAAACCCUGGGUUUUCAGUGAAAAUACUUGACUAUAUUAUCGCAUGUGGGUUAUAUGCAUUCAGACUGAAUUUAAAUCAAUAAGGUCCUCAUGAAUGCUUAGUGGCCUUUGGGGUUCCCGGCAGCUGGGACUAAUUUGCCAGAAAGCAGAUUUAAAUGCAGAAUCAAAAACCAUCGAUAUGUCAAUAAUUAUAUCAUCUUCCAAUUUAUAUUCUCCCUCAAUCUAGCCUUGAUAAUGAGGCGUACAAAGGCAUACACAGACGGCUGGUUCAAUUUUACUUUUUAAUUUGAAAAUAAUGUUGCGAAGGCCGAAAUGUUAUGAUGUGUAAUUUUUGUUACAGAACCGAGCUAGAAUGCAUGUCAAUUUUGACAGCGUAUACAACACAGCAUAUUAGCCCCUGCAGAGGGCCAUGUAAGGACACCGUAUCUAUUACGAAAUGCAACAAACUUAUUAUGUGGCUCUGGUGUUUUAGAAUACAAACAAGCGGCAAUCCGAUGUUUGUUUUUUCACGAAAUUAAGAUGCGUCAUUGAGCGUCAUUCAGCGUCUUUCAGCGUAUUACACUGUCGUCCCAGGCUUUGCGUCAGAAAUCCGAAUGCGAACCCCCCCCCCUUUUUAAAUUGUUUAAUAUCAAUCAAUAAUCAUGUUCCUCUUAAAAGGUUAAUUGAAUUACGCAUUUGGAUUCUGUAUUAUGGGAAAAACGUGAUAUUUAGCUGCAGCCUGGCGAGAUUCUUUUUUUUUAUCGUCCAUAUUUCCUUACACUAUUUUCUUUCAACCCACAUAACGCUGACCAAGUCCGAUCAGAUUCGUCGCCGUUGUUUAACACCGAUUUCCCCGCAUCGCUCUGCCCGUCGGCGGGGCAACUUGUUGACCCCAGUUAACAAAAUCCAUACUGCUAGCUAAUCGAUUAAAGAAUAUUUAACGCGCGCAUUAUGCAUGCUCCGUGAUUUUAUCGGGUAUACUUUCCCCCUGAUUUCCUGCUUGCAAUAUGAGUCUGAUGCUAUUUUGCAAUUGCCAAUGGGUGGACUACUAUUUAAUAAAUUGCGUUAAGACCACUAAUCACAUUAAAUUAUGACUGCGUGUAUGCCCAUUAUCGGCGCCUUAUGGGCACCAAUGUCAAAACAAAGGGAAAACUCCUAAGGGAAAUUCUAAAGACUGGGAUGCUCAACAAGAAAUAUUGUGUACCAAUUCUAUGGGAAAUUGUUGAGUAUAAGGAAAAAGAAAACAGCAUGUUCAAGAGGGAUGCAUUUUUGAGAAGCUGUAAGUGCAUGGGAUCGGUUAGACCGCUCGAGUAUCUCAACCCGUUUGAAUACAUAUAAAUGUUUUGUAUGAGAAGGAGUGCAGCGCACUUUAAAACCGCCCCGGUUGUGACGCAUCCCGGUUGCGGUGGUCGAUACUAUUAUUGCCUCAUUCAAAACGCUCACCCUCUUUGGUGCGUACAUUUUUAUCAUAUGCCUUCAUAAUCCCGCGGCUAGAUUUGUUCACUGACGGCGCCGAACUCAUGGAUUGAUCAUAGUUCGGUUCCCCUCCUUUCUAAUCAAACAACUAUUCCUGUCUCACACUGGGGAAUAUUGACAGUCUUUUACAAUCCCCAAGAGCAGUAUGCGAAGGUCGAGGUCUAUAUUUUUCUUUUCUUGCGUAGUGAAGUCGAGCGAAGGCGGCAUCAUGCACCACUUCACACGGCGUGGUAAUACUGUAUCCCGAUCACGGUUUGAUAAAAGACUGGCUGCUGACAGAAAGAAUCGCUCGCUCGAUUCUCUGCCCAUCGCUUGACCGAACCAAUAUAUCCGAUUUACCUCUCUUAAGACUUUGCCUGCAUUAUUUCCGUCAAACUGAUAUCAGUUCCUUGAAAUACCGUCUCAGCUCUCGUGAAAUCGGACAAAAAUACAGUAUUCUUUACAAAAUAAAAAAUAACAGCGGGGCUCCACUCUAGGUCUUGCGGCCAUUCACUUUUAUAUUGCAUACCUUCGUAUCUGUGUACAGCACAGAUGAAGAGUCCUAAAUAGGGCUAGGCAUUAUCACUUAUAACAGAUCAGGGCACCCGGGCAGUUGUUUGGACUAACUGCCGAAUUGUGGCAGUUCACGGGAGCACGCACUGCCAUUACCCUAUUAACAUCAUAAGCCUUACCCUCUACCCUCAACAUUUAUCGGCACAUCGGGCAACAAACUCGACCCCUUCGUAUUAUUUCUCGGUUUAUUCUAAUAAGUAGAUGUGGAGUAGUGGAAUAGCUUAAUGGAAUAAACACUUUGAUUGAACCUACAAUGCAUUUACUCUGACUCCCGCUAGUAUGUUCUUAAUUGACUCUGGAGCUUGAUACAAUACCCUUCAGUCUACUAGGCCGUAGUUUGAGACACACUAGCUAUCACAUAUCCUUUAUAACAGACCUACAUGUUUUACCACUAACUGGCAAAGAGCUGCAGAAAUCCCAAAGACUUACUAGACAGACGCCACUUUUUGAUCAUGGGUGUUUUUCCCUGGCGUUAACCGUCUUGCAGCGAAUCCCCUUCUCCGCCGGAUGAUGAAAUACCUUGUAAUUGUCCAAAUUGAAAAUCCAUUUUCGUUUUCCCGCAAAUCUCCAAUCUUAAAAUUGAAAAUUGAAUUUGUCCAGUAAUUACUUAUAUCAUCAAAGUCGUUGCACUUAAUGGCUCGUUUUGGUUCGCUGUACUUUUUCCCUUCUCAUUUCGGGACAUUGCGAUGCGGAAGGGGGGUUGUUUGUUGCUGAGACUCGGGGAAGUCCUUCUUGGUUGAUGGGUAAGAUUGCUAGCGCCUCAAGUAGCUACUAGCUUUAUUAAUGAUAUCUCCACAGAUUGUCAUGCUGACUGAUGGAUUGAUUGACCAUACACAUAAGCUAAUAACAUGGGAUAGGAAAGAGAUGGGAUAGGAAAUAAAAUGACUGACUGAGACGGACCUAUACAGUUUACUUCAAGGAAUCUUUUGACUCUUCAAGGACUGGGGGAUCGAGACAUUAACUGACAAUGUGACAAUCUGACGGUCUUUGAUACCUUGCGGACACACAAUCGGUAAAAUGAUUUAUUGCAACAAGCAGUUAACUAUUAUUGAUAUGCUACCAUACACAUCACAUCAGAAGGUUAAAACGCGCAUGCAGAGUAUGCACUUGGUGAUAGGGGGCGCUGUAUGCAGAGUAUGCACUUGGUGAUAGGGGGCGCUGUAUGCAGAGUAUGCACUUGGUGAUAGGGGGCGCUGUAUGAGAUUGUGACGUCACAUACAACGGGGUCCAUAUCUUAUUUCAAAAGAAGAAGACAGUUGUGUUGCAUGAAUUCUUUCUUUCAGACCUACUUAUUCAAAGCCUUCUAUGUUUUAUGUAUGAAUCAAACAUCAAUGCAUUUUCCACGCACUAAAACUUGCGGAUUUUGAAGGUAAAUGCUUAGCUUGUUAGCUUUACUUUGAAGUACGAUUUCAAUGCCAGGGGCGGAUCCAGUAAUUUUAGAAGGAGGGGGGGGGAACAAUAUUUAAGAGUUUGCAUCGCGAAUCCCAACAAGCGUAUCACGAGAGGCUGGUUCGACUCGCGUCAUUAGAAAUGAGCAAUGUGUUUUAUCAAUUUAAUUCGCCAGUAUGUCGACCUUCUAUGUUUCCAAUAUAUAUUCAACUUUAUGUGGUGUAUGGUUGGGCAACUUGAUCAUACUCCAAUCUGCCGAUGAGUGUGAAUCAAGAAGUCUUGCCUUUGUUUUAAGGAGAGGGGCUAGUCAAGGUUUAAAGGGUCUUUUAUGACGUGACUUAGAAUGACCAACUAUACAUAGACAGUGACUAAUGACCGGACUACGGUGGGAAAUAUAUCAAUCGCCUACCUUAAACAUACUACCCUGCAAGCAUAUCAAAGGAAUUUUAUAUAAUUAUGAUAUUAUAUACCCAUGCCUUUUAAAGAAAAUCCACUUGACCUGUUCUGCAUUAACAAACCCUUAAGUGAAGUAUCAUAUAUACAACAACAGGAAAAUGUGGCUGUUUUUGUUACCGCUCGGUACGUAGUUUGGACUGAGUGCAACCACUUACCGCACAUUCAGCAGUUUUUGGUUACUGUUAUGUUAUGAGCUGUUGUGCAGUGUGUUACACAAAGUGAGCAAUAAUGCACCGAUGGAAUGCUGUAGCGGUACGAGAUAAAUCACAAUUCCUUGUUAUUGAAGUUGGUGAACCUCUCUAGCGGCUAGUCUCUAAGGAACAUGACCUCGUUAUUACUUUAGCCGACAUACUUUGUAUUUAAAAGAAUGAUUAAUGGGGGAUUUUGAUUAAAAAACACACACACAAAAACAAACCAACAAAGCAGUUAUUUGCAAUUUUAAUUUAAGAAAUCACUUCUUGAGGAAUAAGUUUGAUUAAAGAAGACUAUGAUGUUCAAGAUAAAUGUCCCCUACAUCCCGACAAAUUCUCACGGUGUUCACUUGGCUGUCAAUGCUAAGGGUACCUUUCUUUACUGUCACACAUUGUUUAAUUACGAUGUAGAAGUUUGACACAGUGACUUGAGCCACUGUGGACACACUUUGGACCCACUGUGGACCUACUGUACACACUGUGUGCAAAAUGUUGACCCACUGUGGACUCACUGUGGACACACUGUGGACACACUGUUGACACACUGUGGACACAAUGUGGACACACUGUGGGCACACUGUGGACACACUGUAUACUCUCUGAGACACACUGUGGAUACACUGUGGACACACUGUGGACCUACCGUAGACCCACUGUAUACACACUGAGGAAACACUGUAGACUCACUGUGGACACACUGUGAGGAAGAUGACCCCUGAUGGUCUUGUUCCAAAUUUGUUGUGCACCACACUUCGAACACAGUGUAGAUUAUUUCAAUGUGAAACCACUUGGCGUUUUUAAACGGGUUAGGGACGUUUUGAGAUCAAAGUUGCCAUGUGAACAUAAUUGGUAUGAUCUAUGGGUGACUGUUCAAUCUGAGAGUUGCCCCAGUCAAUAUGACAACUGUAAAGAAUUGCUGUAGUGAACUAUAUUUGCAUUCUAACUGUAUAAGUAUUGCAGACUCACCUAAUCCAUUCAACAGUUUCAGAAAUAGCUGUUUUUAUUUUGCGUCCAGUGGCAAUCACAAUAGUGAGGCAAUUCCCGCCAGGUGUGUGUCUGGUGCAUUCAGGGCAUGUAUCUUUCAAUCUGUGCGGAAUAAUAUAUAAUUCAGAUUUAUCGCUCUGUGUGUUCAUUCUGCUUCCUUUUGCCAUGUGAGUUUCAAGGUGAUUGAGAAGCCGAAAAUGGGUCAGGCGACAAUCUGAGUCAUCCUCCCUAUCUUCAGCUCCUUUGAAGUGCUCUAAGUUCACAGGUUCAUGAUCCACACUGGAAUAGUUAGUUACGACUUCUCUCUGUUAGGGAAAACAAGAAACGUUAAUCAAACUUGAUGGGCCGAGAGGUGCCUGGGGCGUUUCGGGCUCGCUCUUUUUCAAUCUUUCAACCCGGAACAUGCAUGUUUCUAUUGAAUCGAACCCAGAAUUGCGUGAAUGUUGAGGGUCACGUUUUUACUCCGAGCCUAUCCAUCAUGUUUGAAUCCUUAUCUCUAACCGUGAAUUCAGGUUUCGGCACCGGUGGCCAUGAUGCAGCCGUGUGCGCUCGGCUCAGCUUUAAAAUGGCGGGCAGAGUCUGUGUCUUUGCCAGGUCCGAAUAGUCUCAAAGAGGCAGUCGAUGUUGAACGUGACUUCCAGCACUUUGGGCUCAUUUGGGAGGCUUUUGUGUGAGGCUAAAGAUCAAUGAUUUGAUUAGACAAAGAGUAUGCUAUCAACAUGGGAAAGGUGUUCACGUUUUCUAUUUAAAAACCUCGUUCUUAGUGCACUGUCAUUAUUGAAAUGUUUCAGACGGUAGCAUAUAUGCAGAAUUCGAUAAUUCAGGUUAAUGCAGAUAAACAGAUUGGAAGCAUAUGAAAGCACUCUCGCAGUUAAAACCCCGGGAAAGCAAACCAAAAACCAAUAAUACAACGAUAUGAAAUGAUUGAUUUGGAGGGGAUGUUGUGGGGUCGGGAAGUGGGGCCUGGAAGCAGUAGCAAGUAUUGCUGAUGUGAACGGGUACAAUUUUAACAGGGACCUGACGAACAUUGAAUACAUGAACUGCUCUACAGACACGGACGCUUGACUGAUGGACGCACAGUCGGACUAUGACAUUAACGAUUAUCAAUCAACAAUAAUAUAAGCUAACAGAAGCUAAAAUGAAGAUCUCUUUCAGUUCCAAACAUGUCUUCUUUAGGCAUGGCUUAUAUAGGCACUCAAUCCAUCUUGGUCUAGUGUGACAUUAUUAAUUUCAAAAUAUUACCCCGCCCCGGGACCGUAUUAGUGUACAAUGUAAGUGCAGUUGCACAACGGAGAAAGUGCAAGCGCCUGUUGCGACGAAUUCGCCUUAUCAAAAACAAUCAAAAACGGUCAGGUAUUAUUUACCAGAUUGGGUACGACCGGGAGAAGUAUUGAUGAUAGUACACCUGUAUAAACCAGACACCGAUCUCUCUUGGUUUGAAAAUACUGUCACGUGCGUGAGAUUUGUCCCAACACACUCAUUUCAAAGUUCGAUUUUUUACUAAAUCUAAGCAAACGCACGAACUUGCACAAAAUCCCCAACAGAUCAAAAACAUCACUUUGUUUGCCUUCGCUAGAAAACGUGACAACCUAACUUGGUGGAAUCUAAUUGGUUGGUUUGUACGAUGCCUUUAUUGAAGACGAGGGGAUACGAUUGAGCGCAUGAUCAUCAGAAAAAACAAAGCUGUUUCGAAGCUUUACGAUUUGAACUGACACAGAUGAAGUUUUUCUGGAUUCGUGGCAGGCGAAAGACAUGAUGAAGUUCAUUCUAAAAGAUACCAAAACUGAACUACCAUACAUUGACCUCAACAGUAGAUAUUCCUCUCUCCAAUUUGGUUCAACUAGAGGGCAUAAGACACCCGUACACCCACUCCAACCCUAAUAAUGUCCAAACACCCUGCCGUGUAACGGCUAAAGAUGGAAUUCAAUUUCAAAAAAAAGCACGUGCUCGAUGUUUUCAUUGGUCCCAUGCCUUCCAGUGUUAUCGACACGUGCUCAAUGUUUUCAUUGAAACUGGCAUUACUGGUGGCACAUGCUCCAUGUUUUCGUUGGUACUUUGCCUGCUAGUGAUGUUUGCACAUUCUUAAUGUUUUCAUGCCUGAAGGACAAAGAGAGGCACACACGGUUUAAUAAAUUGAAUUUGAUGAAUUGAAAAACAAAUGCUUGAGAUAAUGAAACCACAAAAUUUCUUUGAAUUGAUCUAAUUGUAUAGCUUUGCAUCUCUGCGGGGUAAGGGGGAGGGGGAUGUUUGUUGAUAUCGCCCUGCUCAAAUAUUAGAGUAUAUCGAGAGGCGCUGCGAGGGAGGUAUGCGGAAAUCUGUUAUGAGGUUUUCACAGUUUGUGCUUCAUAAAAACUGCUGGAUGGCAACUUAAAAAUAAAGUUAUACUUACCAUUUAUUUCGUCAUCAAAACGAAACUUGUGCGUCAGUAUAGCCCCAAAACGGGGUCAAAUUUACCCACACACAAAGGGGUCAAAAUGGUGCAGAAUAUAAGAA
This is a long non-coding RNA of Asterias rubens (European starfish), 9796 nucleotides long. RefSeq lists it as uncharacterized. Lineage: Eukaryota; Metazoa; Echinodermata; Asteroidea; Forcipulatida; Asteriidae. The transcript has 2 exons. The record is from RefSeq and is a predicted model, not a curated record.